GACGAACGCUGGCGGCGUGCCUAAUACAUGCACGUAGAACGCUGAAGGAGGAGCUUGCUUCUCCGGAUGAGUUGCGAACGGGUGAGUAACGCGUAGGUAACCUGCCUGGUAGCGGGGGAUAACUAUUGGAAACGAUAGCUAAUACCGCAUAACAGUAGAUGUUGCAUGACAUUUGCUUAAAAGGUGCAAUUGCAUCACUACCAGAUGGACCUGCGUUGUAUUAGCUAGUUGGUGAGGUAACGGCUCACCAAGGCGACGAUACAUAGCCGACCUGAGAGGGGGAUCGGCCACACUGGGACUGAGACACGGCCCAGACUCCUACGGGAGGCAGCAGUAGGGAAUCUUCGGCAAUGGACGGAAGUCUGACCGAGCAACGCCGCGUGAGUGAAGAAGGUUUUCGGAUCGUAAAGCUCUGUUGUAAGAGAAGAACGAGUGUGAGAGUGGAAAGUUCACACUGUGACGGUAUCUUACCAGAAAGGGACGGCUAACUACGUG
RNAcentral lists this ribosomal RNA (495 nucleotides) under uncultured bacterium. RNAcentral describes it as "partial 16S ribosomal RNA". It matches the Rfam family "Bacterial small subunit ribosomal RNA", at positions 28 to 507 of the family's 1533-position model. The record is from RNAcentral.